AGUGAACGCUGGCGGUAGGCCUAACAUAUGCAAGUCGAACGGCAGCACAGUAAGAGCUUGCUCUUACGGGUGGCGAGUGGCGGACGGGUGAGGAAUACAUCGGAAUCUACUUUUUCGUGGGUGAUAACGUAGGGAAACUUACGCUAAUACCGCAUACGACCUACGGGUGAAAGCAGGGGAUCUUCGGACCUUGCGCGAUUGAAUGAGCCGAUGUCGGAUUAGCUAGUUGGCGGGGUAAAGGCCCACCAAGGCGACGAUCCGUAGCUGGUCUGAGAGGAUGAUCAGCCACACUGGAACUGAGACACGGUCCAGACUCCUACGGGAGGCAGCAGUGGGGAAUAUUGGACAAUGGGCGCAAGCCUGAUCCAGCCAUACCGCGUGGGUGAAGAAGGCCUUCGGGUUGUAAAGCCCUUUUGUUGGGAAAGAAAAGCAGCAGGUUAAUACCCCGCUGUUCUGACGGUACCAAAAGAAUAAGCACCGGCUAACUUCGU
This 491-nucleotide ribosomal RNA is filed under the name uncultured bacterium. RNAcentral describes it as "partial 16S ribosomal RNA". It matches the Rfam family "Bacterial small subunit ribosomal RNA", at positions 29 to 506 of the family's 1533-position model. The record is from RNAcentral.